Molecule: ribosomal RNA, 253 nt
Filed under: uncultured bacterium
Lineage: Bacteria
Description: partial 16S ribosomal RNA
Rfam family: Bacterial small subunit ribosomal RNA
Source: RNAcentral
UACGUAGGGGGCAAGCGUUAUCCGGAUUUACUGGGUGUAAAGGGAUCGUAGACGGCUUUGCAAGCCAGAUGUGAAAGCCCGGGGCUCAACCCCGGGACUGCAUUUGGAACUGUAUGGCUGGAGUGUCGGAGAGGCAGGCGGAAUUCCUAGUGUAGCGGUGAAAUGCGUAGAUAUUAGGAGGAACACCAGUGGCGAAGGCGGCCUGCUGGACGAUGACUGACGUUGAGGCUCGAAAGCGUGGGGAGCAAACAGG